Molecule: long non-coding RNA, 3170 nt
Organism: Salvelinus namaycush (lake trout)
Lineage: Eukaryota; Metazoa; Chordata; Actinopteri; Salmoniformes; Salmonidae
Exons: 3
Source: RefSeq, a predicted model, not a curated record
UUAACUGAAUGGCCGUUUGUGCAGUUAUCUGUCAACAGUCAACGUUAUCUAGUUAAAAUUAGCAUGUUAACUUGGUUUGCCAACUUUUAAAUUAAAACAAACGUUACCUUGCUAAGGAGAAAGGUAGACGGGUAUAAACAAAUGAACAUUACCUUUUAAAUACUGUGGUUGAUCUCUGAUCCAUGCCAGGAUACGUGUCACUACUUUGUGUUGGUCUACACGUCGUCAGGAGAGGACGGUAACCAUUCAUAAUUUAACUAAAAUGUUAUUUGUGUAAAUAUGUUCAUCUUUGUGGUGCGAAGUUUGUUACAAUCUAAGAUGGAUAAUGAUAAUUAAUGUAAUUAACGGUUAUUAUAACACCUGUAAAGCGGAGUGAUACAUGUAUAGUUAAAAGUCGCAGUGCUGUUAUACUCCAAUCAAAUUACUUCGUCGUAUUAUAAAUACUUGUGAACAUUUUCAGUUCUUUCCGCCCGUUUACUUGCGUUUGCUUUUAGUAACAUUCAAGAUGCUUUUGACGGUGCGUUAUCUGCUGCGUUUGUAUUACUUUUUCAUUUAAACUGUUAUUGAGCCAUAUCAAUAGAUUGCACAGUCGCAGCCCUGAGUUCUGGUUGCUCCGUGGUAUUGACGGAUGCACUGAGGAAUCCAGAGUGUACAAUUCCUUCUAUCAUCAUUUAAAGAGAAACCACAUUCAACACUUACUUGAAGGCACCCGAACAGAUGAACAGCCAUCGGAGGAAAACCAAGUACCACCGGAACAAGUAAGUAGCUAGCAAGCAUUUGUUUUUGUUUUCUGGAUUUACAAAAAUAAUUUAAUUAACCGACGAUACACGGACCAAAGUCAUACUAUCCAUAGGCUAUACGAUCAUUUUUAGCUAUAGUGACUCUUAUGGCUAAAGCUGGGUUAAUGUGAAAAUAAUCAAUGAUAAAUAGGAACAAAACACUUAAAUAGCUCUUGUUGAAACUAAAUACAAUUUCAAAUAAUAAUAUUUUUUCUUUGAUGUGUGGUACACAGGACAACAUUCAACCCGAUCAGCUCCUAGCGAACUCUUGCAUCAGUGAUCAGCAACUCCAUACAUCUGACUCAGAUGAAGGGCAAAGGGGCAUUGACAAACAUGAAGCUGUCACAGUGCAACAGGAUCUGACAACACAUGCCACUGCUUUUGUGAUAAAUGCCAGAGCCAAGCAUCGUCUCACACAGAAAGGUGUGAAUGACAUUGUCGCUGGGGUACAGCAGUAUCAAUCAUCACUAUUGGACAACCUCAGGAGGCAGAUGGAGGCAGUGCUAAAGAAGCAUUCAGGAAGCACAUCAGGUCAACUUGGAAAAUGGUGCAAUGGAUAUAUUUGACAAUAUCAUUGACCCUUUUGCUGGCGUUGCAACACCAUUUAGACAGGACAGUGUUAUUAAGAAGCAGUUUAGGUGUUUGGACGCAGAGGAAAUUCAAAUCGCUCGAACCACAGGCAAGAUGAAAUGUGGAGGAUCAAAAUACUUUUUCUUCAAAGACAAAUUAUUUUAUUAUGUACCAUUUAGUCAAAAGUCUAGAACAGUUCUUAUCACACCCAAGGAUUUUGUCUGUGGUUGAAAAGGGACCUCGGAUGUGCAGGGAAAGUUGUUUUCAUGACAUUGUUGAUGGUGCUCUUCUAAAAUCACAUCCCUUAUUUUUCAGAGAAACCAAAGGCAUUGCAGAUUGUUCUGUACACGGAUGAAAUGGAGAUCUGUAAUCCACUAGGAUCCUUUGCAUCCCCCAAAAAACAAGUUGUUAAUGGUGUACUACACCCUAGGAAAUAUAAAUCCAAAAUACAGGUCUAAACUGGCUGCUAUCAGGCUACUUUGGCAUGGCUAGAUCAGCAGACCUCCCUCAAUCUGGUGGAGAUAGAAUCAGGAAAGACAUGGAUGCAUUGUACAGUGGGGUUAAAAUGCUAACUAUUAACGGAGAAAACGAUAUAUGGUGCGAUGUUCUCUCUGUGGAGACACCCUGACACAACAUGAACUAGCAGGGUUCAAAGAGGGUGUGGGGCUUUGCCUACAGUAAGUGCAGACACUGAGUGUUAUUUUGAGGACAUGCAGUCACUCUUCAAUGAGGAUACAUAUACUAAAAGGACAUUGGAGAAGCAUGUCAGACAGUGUGAUGAAAUAGAAAAGGUACAGACUGACUUGCUUCGCAACAACCUGAGAACAACAAAUGGGAUCAAUAGAAGGAGCAACUUAGUUGAAUUCCCAGCCUUUGAUAUCAUACAACAAACUUCGCAAGACAUUAUGCAUGUAAUUCUGGAGGGCGUAGCCCCAUUGGAAAUCAAAUGUGUUUUGAAUCAUCUUGUUGUGUCAGGACAGAUUGAUGUGAAUUCUGCUAUUCUUGGUUUCCCUUAUUCCCCUCUAGAUGUUAGAGAUCGGCCAUCCCCAAUUUCUGUUAGUACAUUCAUGUCAAGUGAUGGUAAACUAAAACAGUCAUCUGGGCAAAUGCUUGUCCUGCUAAGGAUAUUGCCAUUUGUUUUGGAGACUUUGGAAGUCAAUGCAUAUAUACACAAGACUGAUAAUUGAGCUAAUAGAGAUUGUACAGAUGGUAUUUGCACAUGUUCUUUCCAUUGCGACUGUCUACAUUAAAGUUUCAUUUGAAACAUUGGACGGAGCUUUAUCUAGACCGCAUCGUUACACCUAAACAGCAUUACGUGAUACAUUUGCCAUCACAGAUAAAGUCAUUGGGUCCAAUGUGGUUCGAGUCUAAACAAUUUUCUCUAAACGAUGGGCUUCCAAGCUCAAUUAAAAAAAAUAUUUGCAAGUAUUCGAUCGUUGAGAACCAAAUAUAUGAAAGCUGCCAAAAUGUUGACCGUUCAAUGCACCCAAUUUUUUCAAAUGAAAGGGAGAUGGGACCUGUAUCAGAGGUUGAAGAAAUACAAUAUUUAUGUGGAAAAUUGAGGGACUUCCUAGGUUUCAAUGAAGUAUCAGUCAAAUGGCUUGUAAUAAAUACAUAAUUCAGAAGUCCAUGAUCUUUGCCAAAAUACUGAAUGGUAAUAUGCCAGAAUUUGGACUGGUCAAAAACAUAUUUUUUGGUUGAUUCUAGGCUUUAUUGUUCUAUACGCUUUGAUAGAAACGUGGUGGCUUAUCAAGUUGAGGUCCCACACCUUGCACAGGCCACUGAGUUAGUGGAGGUCCCACACCUUGCACAGGCCACUGA